GCCGAGAAGCCCGGGCGGCCCGCUGUGUCCAGAGAAGGGGGCGGGGCUAGACGCGGCCUUGCCGACCAUUAGAGCGCUGAGCGACCCGGAGACUACAUUUCCCAGGGGGCCCCGCGCGGCGCGUUUCGAGCCGAGUGCGCAGGCGCACGAAGCUCUAUGAUUAUAUAAGGGC
This is a non-coding RNA of Oryctolagus cuniculus (rabbit), 172 nucleotides long. NCBI's taxonomy places the organism in Eukaryota, Metazoa, Chordata, Mammalia, Lagomorpha, Leporidae. The record is from Rfam.